UACGUAGGUGACAAGCGUUGUCCGGAUUUAUUGGGCGUAAAGAGCGUGUAGGCGGCCAGGUAGGUCUGGUGUGAAAACUCGAGGCUUAACCUCGAGAUGUCAUCGGAAACCAUUUGGCUAGAGUCCGGAAGAGGAGAGUGGAAUUCCUGGUGUAGCGGUGAAAUGCGCAGAUAUCAGGAAGAACACCCGUGGCGAAGGCGGCUCUCUGGGACGGUACUGACGCUGAGACGCGAAAGCGUGGGGAGCGAACAGG
RNAcentral lists this ribosomal RNA (253 nucleotides) under uncultured bacterium. RNAcentral's name for it is "partial 16S ribosomal RNA". It matches the Rfam family "Bacterial small subunit ribosomal RNA", at positions 524 to 776 of the family's 1533-position model. The record is from RNAcentral.